GAUGUGGCUCAAUGGCAGAGCACUUGCCUAACAUGUGCAAGGCCAUGGGUUCAAUCCCCAGCACG
This 65-nucleotide transfer RNA is filed under the name Marmota monax (woodchuck). Its description in RNAcentral is "tRNA.Val". The record is from RNAcentral. Lineage: Eukaryota; Metazoa; Chordata; Mammalia; Rodentia; Sciuridae.